This 2923-nucleotide ribosomal RNA is filed under the name Staphylococcus aureus. RNAcentral describes it as "23S ribosomal RNA". It matches the Rfam family "Bacterial large subunit ribosomal RNA". The record is from RNAcentral. Lineage: Bacteria; Bacillati; Bacillota; Bacilli; Caryophanales; Staphylococcaceae.
GAUUAAGUUAUUAAGGGCGCACGGUGGAUGCCUUGGCACUAGAAGCCGAUGAAGGACGUUACUAACGACGAUAUGCUUUGGGGAGCUGUAAGUAAGCUUUGAUCCAGAGAUUUCCGAAUGGGGAAACCCAGCAUGAGUUAUGUCAUGUUAUCGAUAUGUGAAUACAUAGCAUAUCAGAAGGCACACCCGGAGAACUGAAACAUCUUAGUACCCGGAGGAAGAGAAAGAAAAUUCGAUUCCCUUAGUAGCGGCGAGCGAAACGGGAAGAGCCCAAACCAACAAGCUUGCUUGUUGGGGUUGUAGGACACUCUAUACGGAGUUACAAAGGACGACAUUAGACGAAUCAUCUGGAAAGAUGAAUCAAAGAAGGUAAUAAUCCUGUAGUCGAAAAUGUUGUCUCUCUUGAGUGGAUCCUGAGUACGACGGAGCACGUGAAAUUCCGUCGGAAUCUGGGAGGACCAUCUCCUAAGGCUAAAUACUCUCUAGUGACCGAUAGUGAACCAGUACCGUGAGGGAAAGGUGAAAAGCACCCCGGAAGGGGAGUGAAAUAGAACCUGAAACCGUGUGCUUACAAGUAGUCAGAGCCCGUUAAUGGGUGAUGGCGUGCCUUUUGUAGAAUGAACCGGCGAGUUACGAUUUGAUGCAAGGUUAAGCAGUAAAUGUGGAGCCGUAGCGAAAGCGAGUCUGAAUAGGGCGUUUAGUAUUUGGUCGUAGACCCGAAACCAGGUGAUCUACCCUUGGUCAGGUUGAAGUUCAGGUAACACUGAAUGGAGGACCGAACCGACUUACGUUGAAAAGUGAGCGGAUGAACUGAGGGUAGCGGAGAAAUUCCAAUCGAACCUGGAGAUAGCUGGUUCUCUCCGAAAUAGCUUUAGGGCUAGCCUCAAGUGAUGAUUAUUGGAGGUAGAGCACUGUUUGGACGAGGGGCCCCUCUCGGGUUACCGAAUUCAGACAAACUCCGAAUGCCAAUUAAUUUAACUUGGGAGUCAGAACAUGGGUGAUAAGGUCCGUGUUCGAAAGGGAAACAGCCCAGACCACCAGCUAAGGUCCCAAAAUAUAUGUUAAGUGGAAAAGGAUGUGGCGUUGCCCAGACAACUAGGAUGUUGGCUUAGAAGCAGCCAUCAUUUAAAGAGUGCGUAAUAGCUCACUAGUCGAGUGACACUGCGCCGAAAAUGUACCGGGGCUAAACAUAUUACCGAAGCUGUGGAUUGUCCUUUGGACAAUGGUAGGAGAGCGUUCUAAGGGCGUUGAAGCAUGAUCGUAAGGACAUGUGGAGCGCUUAGAAGUGAGAAUGCCGGUGUGAGUAGCGAAAGACGGGUGAGAAUCCCGUCCACCGAUUGACUAAGGUUUCCAGAGGAAGGCUCGUCCGCUCUGGGUUAGUCGGGUCCUAAGCUGAGGCCGACAGGCGUAGGCGAUGGAUAACAGGUUGAUAUUCCUGUACCACCUAUAAUCGUUUUAAUCGAUGGGGGGACGCAGUAGGAUAGGCGAAGCGUGCGAUUGGAUUGCACGUCUAAGCAGUAAGGCUGAGUAUUAGGCAAAUCCGGUACUCGUUAAGGCUGAGCUGUGAUGGGGAGAAGACAUUGUGUCUUCGAGUCGUUGAUUUCACACUGCCGAGAAAAGCCUCUAGAUAGAAAAUAGGUGCCCGUACCGCAAACCGACACAGGUAGUCAAGAUGAGAAUUCUAAGGUGAGCGAGCGAACUCUCGUUAAGGAACUCGGCAAAAUGACCCCGUAACUUCGGGAGAAGGGGUGCUCUUUAGGGUUAACGCCCAGAAGAGCCGCAGUGAAUAGGCCCAAGCGACUGUUUAUCAAAAACACAGGUCUCUGCUAAACCGUAAGGUGAUGUAUAGGGGCUGACGCCUGCCCGGUGCUGGAAGGUUAAGAGGAGUGGUUAGCUUCUGCGAAGCUACGAAUCGAAGCCCCAGUAAACGGCGGCCGUAACUAUAACGGUCCUAAGGUAGCGAAAUUCCUUGUCGGGUAAGUUCCGACCCGCACGAAAGGCGUAACGAUUUGGGCACUGUCUCAACGAGAGACUCGGUGAAAUCAUAGUACCUGUGAAGAUGCAGGUUACCCGCGACAGGACGGAAAGACCCCGUGGAGCUUUACUGUAGCCUGAUAUUGAAAUUCGGCACAGCUUGUACAGGAUAGGUAGGAGCCUUUGAAACGUGAGCGCUAGCUUACGUGGAGGCGCUGGUGGGAUACUACCCUAGCUGUGUUGGCUUUCUAACCCGCACCACUUAUCGUGGUGGGAGACAGUGUCAGGCGGGCAGUUUGACUGGGGCGGUCACCUCCUAAAAGGUAACGGAGGCGCUCAAAGGUUCCCUCAGAAUGGUUGGAAAUCAUUCAUAGAGUGUAAAGGCAUAAGGGAGCUUGACUGCGAGACCUACAAGUCGAGCAGGGUCGAAAGACGGACUUAGUGAUCCGGUGGUUCCGCAUGGAAGGGCCAUCGCUCAACGGAUAAAAGCUACCCCGGGGAUAACAGGCUUAUCUCCCCCAAGAGUUCACAUCGACGGGGAGGUUUGGCACCUCGAUGUCGGCUCAUCGCAUCCUGGGGCUGUAGUCGGUCCCAAGGGUUGGGCUGUUCGCCCAUUAAAGCGGUACGCGAGCUGGGUUCAGAACGUCGUGAGACAGUUCGGUCCCUAUCCGUCGUGGGCGUAGGAAAUUUGAGAGGAGCUGUCCUUAGUACGAGAGGACCGGGAUGGACAUACCUCUGGUGUACCAGUUGUCGUGCCAACGGCAUAGCUGGGUAGCUAUGUGUGGACGGGAUAAGUGCUGAAAGCAUCUAAGCAUGAAGCCCCCCUCAAGAUGAGAUUUCCCAACUUCGGUUAUAAGAUCCCUCAAAGAUGAUGAGGUUAAUAGGUUCGAGGUGGAAGCAUGGUGACAUGUGGAGCUGACGAAUACUAAUCGAUCGAAGACUUAAUCAA